This 249-nucleotide long non-coding RNA is filed under the name Vitis vinifera (wine grape). RNAcentral describes it as "long non-coding RNA (VVIN_LNC002629)". The record is from RNAcentral. Lineage: Eukaryota; Viridiplantae; Streptophyta; Magnoliopsida; Vitales; Vitaceae.
GGCACUGUUGUCUGAGACAUAAGAAAUAAAAAUACAACACCUAACUGAACAUAUGAAACAAGCAUACAACUACCCAGUGAACAUAUCUCAUGUUACAUGUGUAGAUGGAGCUGAAACCACCACUACAGCCUCCCUGCACCAUGUAUAGGUCCCAAAAGUACUCCGAAGUUGGAAGUGAGCCUUUUGAUUCCCUAGCAGGAGACCAUAUUUCUAAAGACGAUCCUGAUACUCAUACAACAUCAUUCCCGU